AUGGCGACGACGGAUGCCGGAGGCGGCGACUUCGAGUUCUUGUCAGAUUCCGUCGACAGGUUUCCCUUGCUGGAUCUUGGUGGCGGCAAGGCUAUACUGGGCAUUGUAGCCACCAAAACUCUCGCCUGCACAGCCGCCCAGUCGAGCAUUGCUGAUGUAGGCGACGCUGUGAUGACGGUGCAGCUAGAUUUGAACAGAAACUGCGAAGGCCUCAGCUUGUCGGCGUCAACCUCAAAGCAGUCAGAAGGCAAAAACGAUCCUCAAGCCCCUUGCUGGAGAAAGAGGUAUCAACUGAUGUAUUACUAA
Molecule: ribosomal RNA, 306 nt
Filed under: Triticum aestivum (bread wheat)
Lineage: Eukaryota; Viridiplantae; Streptophyta; Magnoliopsida; Poales; Poaceae
Description: partial small subunit ribosomal RNA
Source: RNAcentral